ACCUUUACGUUGCCUCGGCGGCGUCCGCUUCGGCGGCCCGCCAGAGGACCCAAACUCUUGUAUUUGAAUUGAGUAUUCUCUGAGUGAUACAAGCAAUAAAUUAAAACUUUCAACAACGGAUCUCUUGGUUCUGGCAUCGAUGAAGAACGCAGCGAAAUGCGAUAAGUAAUGUGAAUUGCAGAAUUCAGUGAAUCAUCGAAUCUUUGAACGCACAUUGCGCCCGCCAGUAUUCUGGCGGGCAUGCCUGUUCGAGCGUCAUUUCAACCCUCAAGCCCCCGGGCUUGGUGUUGGAGAUCGGCAACUGCCCCUUGCGGGUGCGCCGUCUCCCAAAUCUAGUGGCGGUCUCGCUGUAGCUUCCUCUGCGUAGUAAUUCACCUCGCUCUGGAACGCAGCGCGGCCACGCCGUUAAACCCCCCACUUCUGAAGGUUGACCUCGGAUCAGGUAGGACUACCCGCUGAACUUAA
This 465-nucleotide ribosomal RNA is filed under the name Gliocladiopsis sp. RFL1. RNAcentral describes it as "eukaryotic LSU rRNA". The stretch from base 105 to 258 matches the Rfam family "5.8S ribosomal RNA". Lineage: Eukaryota; Fungi; Ascomycota; Sordariomycetes; Hypocreales; Nectriaceae. The record is from RNAcentral.